Ipomoea nil (Japanese morning glory) is the source of this 660-nucleotide long non-coding RNA. RefSeq lists it as uncharacterized. The record is from RefSeq and is a predicted model, not a curated record. The transcript is spliced from 3 exons. NCBI's taxonomy places the organism in Eukaryota, Viridiplantae, Streptophyta, Magnoliopsida, Solanales, Convolvulaceae.
UGUGAGAAUUGCAUAUUUGUUGGCUGCCUUGUUCAUACUUUUUUUUUACAAUCAUGGAGAUUUGAAGGCAGCCCCAAAAUCAUUAAAUCACACAGCAUGGAUAUUACUUGGAACAUAUCACACAGCAGACAUAUUAGUAAGGGACGAAAUAUCCUCAUCAUUAAGCAUAUGGCUUUUUUUACUUUGCUCACAUUUACAUCAACACCAAGCACCAAGAAAAAAAAAAUUCUGCUCUAGAAAAAGUGAAAGAGGAUGCAAAGCUUUACAAAAUCUGCAGUCCAAAUUUUGCAGCAGCAACUACUGCUGGUCAGACCUUCUUUGUUUACUUUCCAGAGGGUCGCCGACGUGGAGAAACUGGUUGAAGACUGUAAUGAUCCAAAGGGAAAGCCUAUAGUAGCAAACGACGCCGUAAGACUACAAUAACAGAAUUAUCGGACGGGUGACAGUUGUGAACUGAACUGUGCAGUAACCUAAAACGCAGCGUUUGAGGAGUCAGUUGCAGAACGGUCAAAGGCAAGGCCAUGCGACGUCGUUUAGUAGCUUGAGUAGUUUAAGCUGUUAAGCAGUUGCUAGCAGUUGUAAUCCUUCAGAUAAAUAGACAGUUAGAAUGUAAUCAAGCUAUGUUUUUACCAAAUGCAAUGCUAUUCUGAAUUCUUCUCA